GCCGCCGCGGUCUGAAACGUUCAAUGCGCCGACAGGUGAUAACGAAGCGGCUGCUACUUUAUGACUUUGUAACAUGACAAGGGGAUCCCGAGUACUACAGCUGCUAUCGAAAGUGUCUCGGAAGAAGGGGUGUCAUAGGACCGCUGUGGAAGGCAUUCCUGGAAGUGAGCCAGCGAUACAUAUGCUUGAGCUGCGUGAUUCAUACUUUGCACAGAGCGGCCCGGCUGAAGAGCACUAUCCGAUUUCUGUGCGUCCUGGGCGGCGUAACCACCAACAAGGUGUGACAUGACGUGAUUGACAUAACCUCCUGAAGCAAGGUUUUUAUUUUUUUUUUUUAUUUAGUCGUCGCCAGUGGUUUUGACCCCGGUUUUCUCCCCAAUUUGGAAUGCCCAAUUAUUAUUUUAUAUCCCGGUUCACUAAUGCAACUCCCUCCCCGACUCGGGAAACGGUGGCAGACACACAUGUCCUCCGAAACGUGUCCUGCCAAGCCGGCUUUUUUUGUGCUGCAGGUCUACAGCGAAGCCACCAGACCCAUAGUGCCGGAGGACAACACAGAUCGACCACAGGAGUCGCUGGUGCGCGGUGAACCGAGGAUUACCCUGAACCCUCCCCACCCGGGCGGCGCUCGGUCAAUUGUGCGCUGCCCCCUGGGAACUCCCGGCCAUGAUCGGCGAUGGCAUAACCUGGACUCGAACCAGCGAUCUCCAGGCUAUAGGAUACAUCCUGCACUCCAUGUGGAGCGCCUUUACUGGAUGCGCCUCUCGGGAGCCCCCUGAAGCAAGAUUAAAACAUUGUUUUCUUCUCUUAGCAUAUAAGAGGAGGUAGUCUUGGAAAGCAUUCGUCAAUAUUCAGUUUAUAAGGAUUUUGGGAACAGGUUCUCCAUUGUAAUCCAAGUUUACCGCUGUAAAUUUUCAGUACAUGUUUUCACUUACUCUGCAAGUAGAAUAUAUGUCAAGCCAACCUUCCCUUUACCCAUUCAGUCAAUCAGAGGUUUACACAUUAUAGUGGCAAUCAAUCAAAUUAAAAUACGUUUCCGGACGCAUGUAUUAGACCAACAGUAAAGACACAUAACAACAAUGAACAUUGUAUUUCAGAAACUAAGUGGGUUGGGCUUAGUCAGUGUUUGGAUGGGAAACUUGCAAAGAAAGUCACCUGUUUUAAUACUAAAAGAAGCCUUGUACACAUUUUUGACACAUGUUUCAACUACAUAGCAUUCUCUACACAUUAAAACCUGUUUCUUAGUGUUAGGUGGGUGAAAAGAAGCGAUCAGUUUGACAGUGAGAAGUCACCUGUUGAUCUUCAGUCUAUCUGAUCGGUAAGUGGCAACAAUCUAAUUGGGCAUUUCAAAUCAGGUUGUCAAAAUUGUGCUCUUAGCAGCCUGGCGUUAGUAGGGCACGUGUGCUUGGGGUGCUGUCCAUGUUUAUGACCCGUCUCUUCAUUGUGAACUAAGGUCACUAAAUCACGCUUCUCCUCUAGGGCUUCAUCUAUGAGCUUGUACAGUCUUGGAAAAGAGAAUCACAUCACACUAGGAAUCUGUCAUAUAGGUUUACACAAAACAGUUUAGCAAAUAAGGUGAACGGAAUGUGCCUUCUUGAAGCUGUAUGGCUCUCCCGAGGCCUCCUCAAAUAAAGGCAUUCUG
Acipenser ruthenus (sterlet) is the source of this 1639-nucleotide long non-coding RNA. RefSeq lists it as uncharacterized. The transcript is spliced from 3 exons. The record is from RefSeq and is a predicted model, not a curated record. Lineage: Eukaryota; Metazoa; Chordata; Actinopteri; Acipenseriformes; Acipenseridae.